Non-coding RNA from Camellia sinensis, 2349 nucleotides. Lineage: Eukaryota; Viridiplantae; Streptophyta; Magnoliopsida; Ericales; Theaceae. The record is from RefSeq and is a predicted model, not a curated record.
GGCAUUUUACCCAACACCAAGGAUCCUUUAGAGUGUUUUUUUUCUAAAGUUUUUUAAAGUGGUGUAUUGUGUGGUUGAGAUUUAAUGUUGAAAAAUUGAUGUGACUUGUCAUUAAAUCUCAACCACAUAAUGCACCACUCUAAAAAACUUUAAGAAAAAAAAACUCUAGAGAUCCUUGCUCUUUAGCAAUCACAACUCAUGUUCGGCCCUCUAACGGACUAGCCAAAACAUUGGCUACUUUACCAUCAAUCUUCCCCGCUGGCUACCUAUGAAGAUCAUGAAUCACUCUCCAAAUCAACCGACACCCUUUUUCCCGCGAAAUCGUUAUCGUUCGCGGUUGAUGAGCGCGAUCCUGCGAACGUGUUGUAUGGCUUCGGCGAUUCGCCUCUAGCAGUGCUGGUGGAGAACAUGGAGCUACUGAUUUCGUAUUGUUUGGCAAAUCAUCUUCUUCCUCUACCUUUUCUUCAUCACUCGAUUUGCUCUCAUUUCUCUCUCUGCACAGCUCAAUCAACACAUAGUAUCGAUACGAACUUGACGACUUUGCAAAUGGACGAGUUUGGCGUUUUGGUUGAAAGUACUGGGUUCAAAGCACAGGGAAAAUCAACCCCAAUAGCCGAUCUGAAGACCAAAACCAACACUAACAAUGGCGGUUCUCAAAAUUUCGGAAUCAAUUCUAGUUUCGACCUCAAACCCACACCAGUAAAUCAAUCGAAAUCGGAAAUUUUGGUGGAAUGGAGUUGGGAUCCAAUGGGUUGAGGAAGAAUUUGUGAGGAAAUGGAGCAAAAUGAUAUAUACCAGGGUUUGGUGGAAGUAGCACUUCAAGUAAUGGGAACAUUUUCUGCUACUCCUUUUUAAGUCUCCAAUUGUACAUAGUGCUCAAUUUUUGUAGGGCACAUUGAUUUGUGCAAUGGUAAAAGUUUGGAAUGUCAAGUGAGAAUGUGUCUUCGAGUUUGAGGGCAGAUACUUUGUUGCAAAUGAAGACGGGGGAUGGAUUUGUAUCUUGCCUACCCCUCCAGCACCUUCAAAUGAAGUGGUCACCAUUGUUAGGAAAAAUAGAUCAAUUAAUAGAAAUAAAAACUAAUCUCAAAAAAUUAAAUUAAUAACGACAUAAGAACUUUUAUGUAGCUUCCUUAAUGUGAUGUAUAUUCACGGGAUCAAAAUUUGAUUCCACUAUCAAUUAAAAAGUUUUCAAACGAGAUACGAAUGGUAUCACAAAACAUUCUUAGGUGAAUUCCAAAUAAUCAUAAAUAAAUAAGAGGAAAGAUCUCACUAAAUAGAUGAAUAAAAAUUUUCGAAACAAAGUUGUAGACAGUGGCGGAGCCAUAACAGGGCUAGGGGGGUCACGUGCCCCCCCCUUAGUUUUUAUUUAUUUAUUUUUUUUGUGCAUUGUUCACACACAAUAUGUAAUUUAUGUAGUACUUUUGGAGCGCCAUGUGAUGCUAUUUAUGUGAUGGUCUAAAUCAAUAAUAUAGUGUCAAAUUUUAUAAAUGGAACAUAGUAACUCAUUAUUGUUAGGUAAUUGGAAGAUAAUAGGUGAAUCACUUAAUGUGAGUUGCGCUUUCUUAUAUUCAAAGCACGCUCAAGGAUCCUCUAUCCCCAAAUAACCCUGUCCCCUUGUCCUAAAUCACUCACAAUCAUUGGAUAUGUCUUGAGAUUUUCACAUCUUAGACUUCUCAUAUGAUCUAAUGAUUGUGAGUGAUUUGAGACAGGAGGACAUGGUUAUUUGGGAAUAGAGGAUCCUUGCUGCCAAAGCACCACGUUAUCAAUACGAUAUAAUAUUUUGGGAUUAUCUAAUAAUUUAUAUUCAAAACACAUUUUCAUAAUCAAUGUUAUCUCUCUAAUAUUUUUUUAUCAAAUAAAAAUUAUAGAAAUUUUAUAACGAUUUGAUUCUAUUUUCUAAAAUUAAGAAUUUUAAUUUGUAAUUUUUUUGUGCUAACAUUACAUUCUUACAUUACUAUUGUAUCCGAAUUAUUCCACAUUAUUAUAGAAUUUGAUUAGUUGCUAUUAAUAAUAAAUAAUUAAAUUUUUAUACUUAAAUUUAGCUCAUAAAAUUAUUAUUAUUAUUAUUUUAUUGUUGAUCAUAAAAAAAAUUAAAAAUUAUAAAAUGCCCCAUCUACUUUAAUUUCUUGACUCUGCCAAAAUAAUGACCCAAAUCAUCCCACACAGUGACUGCCGGUAAUGAAUUUACUUUUUCUUAAUCCUUUGUAGGAUGGUCGCUAAUUUGCUUUUGAACUAUGUUCAUUUGGCAAUACUUGCAGUUUCAUUCAUCUGAUAUCAAUAUGCAAAAAUGAUUUAAACGAUUGUCUAAUACACCAUUAAACAUCAUAUCUGUGUGUGUUGUUUUUUGAC